This 200-nucleotide unclassified non-coding RNA is filed under the name soil metagenome. RNAcentral describes it as "partial contains internal transcribed spacer 2 and large subunit ribosomal RNA". The record is from RNAcentral.
GAGCGUCAUUGCACCUCUCAAGCCUAGCUUGGUAUUGGGUCUUCGCCCCCCGGGCUUGCCCGAAAAUCAGUGGCGGUCCGGAGUGACUUCGAGCGUAGUAAAUUUUUCCCGCUCUGGAAGUUCGCCCCGUGGCCGGCCAACAACCCCAAUUUUUUUCAAUGAUUGACCUCGGAUCAGGUAGGGAUACCCGCUGAACUUAA